This 410-nucleotide long non-coding RNA is filed under the name Equus asinus (donkey). RNAcentral's name for it is "lncRNA (ENSEASG00005035389.1)". Lineage: Eukaryota; Metazoa; Chordata; Mammalia; Perissodactyla; Equidae. The record is from RNAcentral.
GAGAAGCUUGUAUGGGAAGUGUCAAGGUCAGCCGUCCAGUCAAAGUCAGGCGGCAGGGAAGAUCUGGUGGGUAAGCAGCACUCAGUUCACAUCUAACCUCAGCUUCACUGGCACCCGUGGUUUUGGAGACGAUGAAACACUUAUGAUUUGGUCAAGACUCAUGUCCACUCACAGCGGCAAUGGAAAACUGGUGCAGGAGGAAGCCUCAGCAAUGAUUUAGCACAAACAAAGAAACAGAACAGAGAGGCUACAUGGUUUUCCCAAGGCCACACAGCAAGUCCAUUCCAGGGCUCAGACCAACUGGCAGCUGAGCCCCCAAAGUCCACACUGUGUGGACUGGCUUCUGUAGUUUUCUCCUGGAAAAAAAAUAAAACAACUACAAAUAAAAUCUCAAUAAGGUCUGCAUUAAA